Molecule: ribosomal RNA, 253 nt
Filed under: uncultured bacterium
Lineage: Bacteria
Description: partial 16S ribosomal RNA
Rfam family: Bacterial small subunit ribosomal RNA
Source: RNAcentral
UACGUAGGGUGCGAGCGUUAAUCGGAAUUACUGGGCGUAAAGCGUGCGCAGGCGGUUAUGCAAGACAGAUGUGAAAUCCCCGGGCUUAACCUGGGAAUGGCAUUUGUGACUGCAUGGCUAGAGUGUGUCAGAGGGGGGUAGAAUUCCACGUGUAGCAGUGAAAUGCGUAGAUAUGUGGAGGAACACCGAUGGCGAAGGCAGCCCCCUGGGACAACACUGACGCUCAUGCACGAAAGCGUGGGGAGCAAACAGG